ACAGAGGGUGCGAGCGUUAAUCGGAAUUACUGGGCGUAAAGCGCACGUAGGCGGCUUGGUAUGUCGGGUGUGAAAUCCCCGGGCUCAACCUGGGAACUGCAUUCGAAACUGCCUUGCUUGAGUAUGGGAGAGGGAAGUGGAAUUUCCGGUGUAGCGGUGAAAUGCGUAGAUAUCGGGAGGAACACCUGUGGCGAAAGCGGCUCUCUGGACCACAACUGACGCUGAGGCGCGAAAGCUAGGGGAGCAAACAGGA
This 253-nucleotide ribosomal RNA is filed under the name uncultured prokaryote. Its description in RNAcentral is "partial 16S ribosomal RNA". It matches the Rfam family "Bacterial small subunit ribosomal RNA", at positions 525 to 777 of the family's 1533-position model. The record is from RNAcentral.